AACAAGGCAGUUAGAACCACUUUGGGGCAAGGGGAUGGCAGAAAGGGAAGUAGGAGGUACUAAUUAAAACCUGUGGAAAGGGUUUUAAAGUUCCCAUACCAAGAAAAGUUAACAUACCAAGAAUAUCGUUACUGCUGGUCUACAGCAACCUCUUCUCCUUGCUUGUCCCCACACCCCAUGCUGCCUCACCUGCACUUCAGGUGCAAGCUGCCCCUUCGGAUAAUUUCCUUCUGUUUAUUUCCUAAGGUUUUCUUGUUGUUCAUUUUGGUUAGAUGUUACCUUCUAGGGAAAGUGAAGGGGGCAGAGAAUGAGUCUCGUAAGGCAUGAAGUGUCCUGGGUCCAGCGCUCCACGUGGGUGGGCCUGGCCAUUUUCAUUAGUAAUAACAGACACGCUGUACAACCAUUCAGGAUCAGCUACCAUCCUGGGCACUGCAACAAGGAACUAACCAAACAAAUAAACUAACCAAUCCACAGACAAAAUUCCUGACCUGGAAGGACCAUGAAGGCAAAGAGGCAUCUAUCUCACUGGGCACUGAGACAAAGAAUUCAAACCAAACCAAACCAAACCAGACUAAACCAAACAAAAACCAAUGCACACAGACACACAGACACACAGACACACAUACACACACACACACACCCUAGCCUGGAAAGAUCCUAAAGGUAAAGAGAUAUCUCAUUCACUAUUCUUCCCCCAGAGCCUGGCCUGACACCUGUAACACAGAAAGAGUUUAAUAGAUAGUUGAUAAAUCAGUGGGUAAAUAAAUGAUUGAAUAUUCUAUUCACACUAUAGACAAACAUGAUAAGUGAUAAAGCAUCGAAGAGGAAGAACUUGAGACAGGGUUCUACUGCUCACUCCAGGGAGUCUCUGACUGCCUAGGAAUGACUGAUACUGGUCUAGGACUUGCUUCUGUGUCUGCAGGACUUCCUGGAGCCUGGAAGUGGGGCUUAGCUGGGAGGCUGAAAAGGUGGGAAAAGCUCAUUCAUAACCCUGUGUGCCUUUCUCCAAAUACCUUUGAGCUGCCAACCUGAGUCAUAAUUCCUCUGCCCUCCUCCAGGAUCUAGAGUAUGAGGCUAAAAGAGGGAGAGCCCACCCCUAAAGCAAAGGGGUACAGCCUGGUACAUGCAGCAGCUUUGGGCUCCAGUCAUCAAGCUGUGUCCAAGGUCGAUCCACAAGUUAUAGCUAUGAGGAGAGCCCUCCCCUUCUCUUGAUGUUUGUCCAGUGAAGAGGUCACAUUUAGCAGCCUUGUGUAUGGCUGACAUGGCCCUAGAUAUCUCUCCUUCCUUUCAAUGAUGGCAACAGAAAGCAAGAGGCUCAUUGUCUCUAGGGCCCACUCUUCCUGCUCUUCCCUCUACUUCCCACAGGCACAGGAGCCUCACCCUAUGGCCACCACUACAGGCCCACAGGGAGUACUGCCAGGCUUCCACCGAUGUUUGCUUAAGGCCCAAGGGCUCUUCAGUCAGAUUGCAGUGGAUGUUGCCAAACCUGGGACUCACCACUUCAGAGCAGUGGGCUCCCCUGUGGCCCAGCCAGGUCUGGAAAUGCCAUCCAAGAGCCAAGGCCUGGAGUCGGGGCCCGAAGAGCCCACAUGAUGCUCUUCCCACCUGUGGCUGAGCUGGUACCUAAAAUCUGUUCAGCUCCUGUUAUCAGACUCUCCUGUGCAGUCCUCAUGUCUGUUCACCAGUGUGUUUUCCAGUGUAUCUAUUUUCAAUUGAGAAGGGAAGAAAUGAUUAAUCAUUACUUUCAAGUAAUUGUGAGGCUUUUGGACUUAAACAGCUAUGACUUUUGGUUAAAAAUUACCUUAAGACAUUUAUUAUUUUGAAACAAAU
This 1830-nucleotide long non-coding RNA is filed under the name Homo sapiens (human). RNAcentral's name for it is "non-protein coding lnc-CD83-8:1". The record is from RNAcentral. Lineage: Eukaryota; Metazoa; Chordata; Mammalia; Primates; Hominidae.